CAGAGGAAAGAUGCCCUCAAGGCUGUAGACACUGUCCUGAAGUACAUGACCAAGUGGAUCCAGGAGCGGGGCCUGCAGGACCGCCUGAACGUCAUUAUUUUCUCGGAUCACGGAAUGACCGACAUUUUCUGGAUGGACAAAGUGAUUGAGCUGAAUAAGUACAUCAGCCUGAAUGACCUGCAGCAAGUGAAGGACCGCGGGCCUGUUGUGAGCCUUUGGCCAGCCCCUGGGAAACACUCUGAGAUAUAUAACAAACUGAGCACAGUGGAACAUAUGACUGUCUACGAGAAAGAAGCCAUCCCAAGCAGGUUCUAUUAUAAGAAAGGGAAGUUUGUCUCUCCUUUGACUUUAGUGGCUGAUGAAGGCUGGUUCAUAACUGAGGUAAUUAUGAAAUAUGUGCCAAUUUAUUCUCUAUGCAAAUUCUAUAAAACAGUCCAAAGUUAAAUAAUAGUUACUCAAGU
This 461-nucleotide small RNA is filed under the name Pan troglodytes (chimpanzee). RNAcentral describes it as "retained intron". Lineage: Eukaryota; Metazoa; Chordata; Mammalia; Primates; Hominidae. The record is from RNAcentral.